GACGAACGCUGGCGGCGUGCUUAACACAUGCAAGUCGAACGGAAAGGCCCUGCUUUUGUGGGGUGCUCGAGUGGCGAACGGGUGAGUAACACGUGAGUAACCUGCCCUUGACUUUGGGAUAACUUCAGGAAACUGGGGCUAAUACCGGAUAGGAUCUCCUGCUGCAUGGUGGGGGUUGGAUAGUUUCGGCGGUUGGGGAUGGACUCGCGGCUUAUCAGCUUGUUGGUGGGGUAGUGGCUUACCAAGGCUUUGACGGGUAGCCGGCCUGAGAGGGUGACCGGCCACAUUGGGACUGAGAUACGGCCCAGACUACUACGGGAGGCAGCAGUGGGGAAUAUUGCACAAUGGGCGGAAGCCUGAUGCAGCAACGCCGCGUGCGGGAUGACGGCCUUCGGGUUGUAAACCGCUUUCGCCUGUGACGAAGCGUGAGUGACGGUAAUGGGUAAAGAAGCACCGGCUAACUACGUG
This 468-nucleotide ribosomal RNA is filed under the name uncultured bacterium. RNAcentral's name for it is "partial 16S ribosomal RNA". It matches the Rfam family "Bacterial small subunit ribosomal RNA", at positions 28 to 507 of the family's 1533-position model. The record is from RNAcentral.